Molecule: long non-coding RNA, 548 nt
Organism: Magallana angulata
Lineage: Eukaryota; Metazoa; Mollusca; Bivalvia; Ostreida; Ostreidae
Exons: 3
Source: RefSeq, a predicted model, not a curated record
UGACAACGAUUUUCUAUUUUCGUAAACAACUUUUUUUUGCAGGUGUCAUUUACAAAACGACAUCCUUCUGAAGAACAGAACUGUUUCAUCCUGACCAACAUCUUGAAUACGAAAUCCACAAAGCUUGAUGAAGCUGACAAAGAACUUGAGCAGAGACAGUGCAGAUAAAAAUAGAUAAAAACACAAGUUUUAUCACGUCCGACAGUAAACUUCGAUUCAAGGCAAAGAAAUAUUUUAAAAUGAUUGAUGAUAUUGAGAAUUGUAAACGAGAUGUGAAAUAAAAUCAGGAAAAGCCUUUAUUAAUAAUUCUGAUGCCUGUGAAAUUAUGGACUUAACAAUAGAAAUAAGCACAAAAACUAGACGGAAUUCUAGACAUUGUUUUAGAUUAUAGAUACUCUGUAUUCUUUUCACAAAGAGAUUAAUCGUUUUAUAACAAUGUCUCUUUUUUAGUUUAAGAAACACAUAUUUAUCAUGGUCAUAUAAUAAAAAAAAUGAAGCUCAUAGAAAUCUAGUAGUCAUAUUUUGGUGUAGCCGUAUGUUAUGCUGCA